Molecule: transfer RNA, 74 nt
Filed under: Planctomycetota bacterium
Lineage: Bacteria; Pseudomonadati; Planctomycetota
Description: tRNA-Arg
Rfam family: tRNA
About the family: Transfer RNA (tRNA) molecules are approximately 80 nucleotides in length. Their secondary structure includes four short double-helical elements and three loops (D, anti-codon, and T loops). Further hydrogen bonds mediate the characteristic L-shaped molecular structure. tRNAs have two regions of fundamental functional importance: the anti-codon, which is responsible for specific mRNA codon recognition, and the 3' end, to which the tRNAs corresponding amino acid is attached (by aminoacyl-tRNA synthetases). tRNAs cope with the degeneracy of the genetic code in two manners: having more than one tRNA (with a specific anti-codon) for a particular amino acid; and 'wobble' base-pairing, i.e. permitting non-standard base-pairing at the 3rd anti-codon position.
Source: RNAcentral
GCACCCGUAGCUCAGUUGGAUAGAGCAACGGAUUUCUAAUCCGUCGGUCGCAGGUUCGAGUCCUGCCGGGUGCG